CGCACAUUGCGCCCCUUGGUAUUCCAUGGGGCAUGCCUGUUCGAGCGUCAUUUGUACCCUCAAGCUUUGCUUGGUGUUGGGUGUUUGUCCUCUCCUCUGCGGUUGGACUCGCCUUAAAGCUAUUGGCAGCCUGUAUAUUGGUUUUAAGCGCAGCACAUUUUGCGUCUUACUCCCUAUUGUACUAGCGACCAUGAAGCCUCUUUUAUCACGUUUGACCUCGGAUCAGGUAGGGAUACCCGCUGAACUUAA
RNAcentral lists this unclassified non-coding RNA (249 nucleotides) under Ophiosphaerella sp. RNAcentral's name for it is "partial contains 5.8S ribosomal RNA, internal transcribed spacer 2, and large subunit ribosomal RNA". Lineage: Eukaryota; Fungi; Ascomycota; Dothideomycetes; Pleosporales; Phaeosphaeriaceae. The record is from RNAcentral.